AAAUAAGAAGCAAAAAAAUUGCAUUUAAUUUCGACUUAAAAAUUAGAGUUUUAUAUUACUCCUUAUUUA
This 69-nucleotide transfer RNA is filed under the name Protambulyx astygonus. RNAcentral describes it as "tRNA-Arg". Lineage: Eukaryota; Metazoa; Arthropoda; Insecta; Lepidoptera; Sphingidae. The record is from RNAcentral.